GAGGGUAUAGCUCAGCGGUAGAGUGGGUGCUUAGCAUGCGCAAGGUCCUGGGUUCAAUCCCCAGCACCUCCA
Camelus ferus (Wild Bactrian camel) is the source of this 72-nucleotide transfer RNA. It matches the Rfam family "tRNA". From Rfam's summary of the family: Transfer RNA (tRNA) molecules are approximately 80 nucleotides in length. Their secondary structure includes four short double-helical elements and three loops (D, anti-codon, and T loops). The record is from Rfam. NCBI's taxonomy places the organism in Eukaryota, Metazoa, Chordata, Mammalia, Artiodactyla, Camelidae.